This 74-nucleotide transfer RNA is filed under the name Endomicrobium sp. RNAcentral describes it as "tRNA-Lys". It matches the Rfam family "tRNA". From Rfam's summary of the family: Transfer RNA (tRNA) molecules are approximately 80 nucleotides in length. Their secondary structure includes four short double-helical elements and three loops (D, anti-codon, and T loops). The record is from RNAcentral. Lineage: Bacteria; Pseudomonadati; Elusimicrobiota; Endomicrobiia; Endomicrobiales; Endomicrobiaceae.
GGGCCCGUAGCUCAGUUUGGUAGAGCACCUCACUUUUAAUGAGGUUGUCGUGCGUUCGAGCCGCACCGGGCUCA